UCGUGCUAGACGGGGAGCUAGCGGUGCCCUGUAGCCUGCAAUCCGCUACAGCAGGGUUGAAUCCCUCGUAUAGACUUUAAUUUGUCAGGUCAGUGUAAUUAGGCUGGUGCUGAGAGCUUGGUCCCAUGCAGCAGAAACUCAUGAAAUCCGUCAGGUCCGGAAGGAAGCAGCGGUAAAUGAUACUUUCUGUGUGCCGUGGAAUAACCUAGUUUGAGUUGGCUUAACUGCAAACGCUGGUAGAUUAAUAGUCGACACGAGGUGCACGA
This 266-nucleotide signal recognition particle RNA is filed under the name Clostridiales bacterium oral taxon 876 str. F0540. Its description in RNAcentral is "Bacterial large signal recognition particle RNA". It matches the Rfam family "Bacterial large signal recognition particle RNA". From Rfam's summary of the family: The signal recognition particle (SRP) is a universally conserved ribonucleoprotein involved in the co-translational targeting of proteins to membranes. Archaeal SRP consists of a 7S RNA and homologues of the eukaryotic SRP19 and SRP54 proteins. The record is from Rfam by way of RNAcentral. Lineage: Bacteria; Bacillati; Bacillota; Clostridia; Eubacteriales.